GCUAACUGAAUCAUUAUGAGUCAUUAAUUUGGUGAUUAUGAUAACAUAAGGGAAAAAAAAUGAUAUUACCUUAUUAUUAGUGUUGUCCAAAACUGGUGCCAGAAGACUCGGUAAGACCAGAGACGCAAACGUUAGUCAUUUUAAUCAGGCGUAAAGGGUGUGUAGGCUGCUUUAAAAGUUUAAAUCUUUUUAAUAGCUCUUUUGCCGUUGUCAUACCAUUAUUUUUUUGUUUUUGUUUUUUGUUUUAUAAAUAAUAAACAAAAAUGAAUAUAAAGGUAGUACAUUUUAUAAAUUUAAUUAAUUUAAUUAAUUUAAUUAAUUUAAUUUUAUAAUUAUAAAGGGGACAAAAAAGAUAUCCCGGUUUAAGUAAAAAGAAUAAAAUGAAUUAAAGCUAGGAUCAAAUUGAGGAUAAACCAAAUAAUACUUAGAGUAGGGCCGAUAUCCGCAGAUACUAAGGGGAAUACUAAAGGUGAAAGCUUUUUAUCUACUAUUGAUUGACGCUGAGAAACGAAGGUGAGAACAGGAAAUAGGAUUUGAUACCCAGAUACCUCUCACUGUCAACGAUGAAUGGUGGUUGUUAGUUUUAAUAAAAACUGGUAACGAUGUUAACACGAUAACCAUUCCGCCUUGCGAGUACGGUUGCAAAACUGAAACCAAAAAAAUUAGUCGGUU
RNAcentral lists this ribosomal RNA (672 nucleotides) under Tricholoma bakamatsutake. RNAcentral's name for it is "partial small subunit ribosomal RNA". It matches the Rfam family "Bacterial small subunit ribosomal RNA", at positions 399 to 918 of the family's 1533-position model. Lineage: Eukaryota; Fungi; Basidiomycota; Agaricomycetes; Agaricales; Tricholomataceae. The record is from RNAcentral.